Solenopsis invicta (red fire ant) is the source of this 2570-nucleotide long non-coding RNA. RefSeq lists it as uncharacterized. The record is from RefSeq and is a predicted model, not a curated record. NCBI's taxonomy places the organism in Eukaryota, Metazoa, Arthropoda, Insecta, Hymenoptera, Formicidae. The transcript has 3 exons.
ACGAGGAGACUUGAAUGAUUUUCAGUACGGGGUAUCGUUGACCACGUCGACUCUGUUUGCGACGUUGCAACAAUAUAGACACGAGUCUGCGCGCGCAGCUAAGAAAUUAAAAACAUUUUUAAAUUUUUCUAAAUUUUCUAACAGAAAUAAUCUUACAGCGAUAUGAUUUAAAAUAUCACGAGGUCUAAUACGACAAAGACGUGAGUGUGCGCACUUACGAUAAGUUGUUCAGACAUGUGAUAACUUGCACUUACUGACUUUUUCCAGAUAAAUGACUUCCUUCACUUCCGUUAUCAAAAAUAUCAUCCUUUGCGGUGAGCGUGAUUUUUUCUAGAUAGGGAGUCAAAGAUUAAACUUUUAUCGAGCCUUUCGUUUUAUCGACAGGAAAGAAUGUCAAAAAUAUGCUUUUGUUAGAAGAAUUUUUAAGGUUUGGCUUUUAGCCUGAUUUUUUUCAAAUGUCAACUUUUGACAAGAGUAUGAUUUUUUUCUAAUCGAAGAAUAGGGAACAUUAUCUACUAUAAGAUUAAUCUACGAAACGAGGGUUUUGUCUAGCAACAAAACAGAACAGUAGAUAGGACUAACUAGAAAAAUCAGAGUCGAAAGAAGGCUGAGUUGUCGAGAUAAAUUCAUUUUCUUUUUUCUUGCUUUUGAAAUAUUUGGAAGAUGCAACGUAUAAAUGUUAAGUUUCACGAAAGCUAAGCGUUAGUUCGGCUUUCGUACUCUCCAGUUAUAAGUCGAGAGUUUUUCGUUGUACUACGACAAACGUUGUAAGUGCAAUUUUUAUUGCGAGUGAAAAAGUGAAAAUAGUGAAGUUUAAAUAGUGAAAAUGUUGCGCGACGAUAUUGUUAAAUUUUUUAUCGUGGCGUGUAAUUUUAAUAAUAAAAUAGUGAAGGGUCACUAUUUUAAGAAGGUAGCGCGUGACAAUGACGCGUCGAACUACGCAUUGUUCGACAAGUUCGCUAAGGAGUGCUCCAGCACAUUGCUGUGUGUUAUGCACAGACUGGGGCACUGUAAUGGCAACGUGACGUUGGAAAAUAUAAUUCGACGUCACGUUGAAACGCGACAACAGAAUAAAGCGUUUUUUGAAAAUGAUGCGGGGGGUCAUAUAGCUGACUUCUUGCGUCAAAGAGAAGUUGUAAGACACGUAGCCAGGGUUGAGCCGCUACCGCCUCGUCGUGCGGCACCUCUUGAGCGAAACUACGGGGCGAGACGACGACGCGCAGAAGAGGAGCUUCAAGGUGUCGUAGCAGCCCGUAAGUAACUCUACGUACAGUAAGCAUGAGACACGCGUCUCGUGGAGAAAAUUAAAUAUUCAAAGUUUUAUCAAAUAUUACAUAUAGAAAAUUUUAUAGGAAGACCGCGAAUUGAAAUCGCGGACUUAGUUGCGGAGGCACCAUCACCUCGAUACACCCCCGACGGUGAAUCAUCAGGUAAAUUUAAAAAUAUCGUGUUAUAAAGUUAUAAUAGUAGUGUAAUAAUAGUAAUAAUAAUAACAAUUGUUAUUAUAUAUUUAGAUGAUGACGACGAUACUCGAGGUAAUUUUGACAGAGUUCGAUCCUCAGCCGAUGAGGCUGUAUUUACUCCAGGUAAGUUUUAAAAAAUAGACUUGGAGAAACUAACAUAUAGUUAUUUAUCAUAAUUAAUAACAAAAAAAAUAUUAUUUAGUGUAAGCAAACGAGACGGAGGACGAAGAAGAAAGAGAGGAAAGAGCGACGCAGGAGGAGGAAGAGGAGGAAACCGAAAAAGAAGCAUUAAGAGAAGAUGAGGAGGAGGAUACAGACGAAGAUGAAGAAGAGGAGGCAGAAGAUCAAGAGGAAGAGGAAAAUGAAAUAGAAGAAGAAGAAGAAGAAGAAGAGCAGGAAGCGAUGGAAGAUGAGGAAGAAGGAGAUGAAGAGGAAUCGGAUGAAGGCGGUGAAGUGGAGGAUAAUGAAGAGGGGGCGGAAAUAGAAAAUGACGCCGAGGAAAGAGAAGUCAAAGUUGCUUCGCCAGAGUAUGAUGAUAACUAUUAUUAAUAUUAUUAUUAAAUUAUUUUAUUUCGAAGUAAUAUAAAACAAAAUUUUAGAUGAUAUACAUUAUGCCAAUACCUUACCAUGGAGGGCAUAAUUAAUAUCACUGGGCGGGGAAAUAUCGUGGGGUAACUUGUUCAAACUGGCGCUGGACUUGCUGAAGCUGUAAUUGGAAGAAACGCUAGUGGGGAAGAAUUUCUCCACAAUACUGCGGAGAAUGUAGCCGACCAAAGGCCUCAACAGCAGCAACAUCGGUCGCAGCAACCACAGUCGCAACAUUCUCAGCAACAGGAGCAAGACCCACAAUCGCAACAGCAGCAGUCGCAGCAACAACAACAUCGGGUUGAUGAUAGAUUUAAUUAUAUAGAGCUGCAGACGGAAAACGCGCGUAGAUUUAGGAAUUUUGCUAUACUCGGGAGAGAGGCGAGUUUCGCGAUACGUCCAGUGCCACAGGGUGCCGAUACCGUGCGUUGGUUAGAAAACGCAUUCCGCGAAAUCCAUGCGUACGCGAUAAGCUCAAGUGAACCGACGGAUUACGUAGGACUAUCUUUCAAUUCCGAAAGU